GGAAACUUGAGUUGCUUUGGCAUAUUAUUGUUCUUAAUUUGAUAACUUUUCUAGUUAGGGUUGAAAAGAACCACAUUUAGUGAAUGUAAAGACUAUUUGAUAUUAUAAAGUAUUUCUAGUCCUAAUACAUGUAUUUUUUUUAGAUAAAAGGCUGCAUGUUCAGUGCUUUCCGACUUUUGGAAUUGGGUAUAUUAUGUAAUUAUAUAUCAAUUGGUAAUAGGACUUGGCAGGGGUUUUCUUUUUUAUGAUUUAAUUGUUUAGUUGUAC
This 267-nucleotide unclassified non-coding RNA is filed under the name Hevea brasiliensis (rubber tree). Lineage: Eukaryota; Viridiplantae; Streptophyta; Magnoliopsida; Malpighiales; Euphorbiaceae. The record is from RNAcentral.